RNAcentral lists this ribosomal RNA (480 nucleotides) under Plesionika reflexa. RNAcentral's name for it is "partial 16S ribosomal RNA". It matches the Rfam family "Bacterial large subunit ribosomal RNA", at positions 1852 to 2588 of the family's 2925-position model. Lineage: Eukaryota; Metazoa; Arthropoda; Malacostraca; Decapoda; Pandalidae. The record is from RNAcentral.
GUCUGGCCUGCCCACUGAAUUUAUUUAAAGGGCCGCAGUAAUUUGACUGUGCGAAGGUAGCAUAAUCAAUAGUCUUUUAAUUGAAGGCUGGAAUGAAUGGUCGGACAAAGAGUAAGCUGUCUUUUUAAUAUUUCUUGAAGUUUACUUUUAAGUGAAAAGGCUUAAAUGUAUUUGGGGGACGAUAAGACCCUAUAAAACUUUACAGUGGGGUCUGUAUUUUCUUAAAGUAGUGUAUAAUAUGAGUUACAGCCUGUCUGUUAUGUUGGGGAGACAUUAUCAUAAUAAGUAACUGUAAUAAAUAAAAAAUAAUAAUAAUUAGGUUAAUUGAUCCUUUAUUAAAGAUUAUAAGAUUAAGUUACUUUAGGGAUAACAGCGUAAUUCUCUUUGAGAGUUCUUAUCGACAAGAGUAGUUGCGACCUCGAUGUUGAAUUAAGAUUUCUUUAAAGUGUAGCAGCUUUAGAAGUAGGUCUGUUCGACCUU